RNAcentral lists this ribosomal RNA (723 nucleotides) under Escherichia coli. RNAcentral describes it as "partial 23S ribosomal RNA". It matches the Rfam family "Bacterial large subunit ribosomal RNA", at positions 467 to 1191 of the family's 2925-position model. The record is from RNAcentral. Lineage: Bacteria; Pseudomonadati; Pseudomonadota; Gammaproteobacteria; Enterobacterales; Enterobacteriaceae.
UAAAUACUCCUGACUGACCGAUAGUGAACCAGUACCGUGAGGGAAAGGCGAAAAGAACCCCGGCGAGGGGAGUGAAAAAGAACCUGAAACCGUGUACGUACAAGCAGUGGGAGCACGCUUAGGCGUGUGACUGCGUACCUUUUGUAUAAUGGGUCAGCGACUUAUAUUCUGUAGCAAGGUUAACCGAAUAGGGGAGCCGAAGGGAAACCGAGUCUUAACUGGGCGUUAAGUUGCAGGGUAUAGACCCGAAACCCGGUGAUCUAGCCAUGGGCAGGUUGAAGGUUGGGUAACACUAACUGGAGGACCGAACCGACUAAUGUUGAAAAAUUAGCGGAUGACUUGUGGCUGGGGGUGAAAGGCCAAUCAAACCGGGAGAUAGCUGGUUCUCCCCGAAAGCUAUUUAGGUAGCGCCUCGUGAAUUCAUCUCCGGGGGUAGAGCACUGUUUCGGCAAGGGGGUCAUCCCGACUUACCAACCCGAUGCAAACUGCGAAUACCGGAGAAUGUUAUCACGGGAGACACACGGCGGGUGCUAACGUCCGUCGUGAAGAGGGAAACAACCCAGACCGCCAGCUAAGGUCCCAAAGUCAUGGUUAAGUGGGAAACGAUGUGGGAAGGCCCAGACAGCCAGGAUGUUGGCUUAGAAGCAGCCAUCAUUUAAAGAAAGCGUAAUAGCUCACUGGUCGAGUCGGCCUGCGCGGAAGAUGUAACGGGGCUAAACCAUG